This 256-nucleotide ribosomal RNA is filed under the name uncultured bacterium. RNAcentral's name for it is "partial 16S ribosomal RNA". It matches the Rfam family "Bacterial small subunit ribosomal RNA", at positions 98 to 354 of the family's 1533-position model. The record is from RNAcentral.
CGGGACUGGUGAGUAACGCGUGAGGAACCUGCCUUUCGGAGGGGGACAACAGUUGGAAACGACUGCUAAUACCGCAUGAUACAUUUGGGCCGCAUGGUCUGAAUGUCAAAGAUUUAUCGCCGAAAGAUGGCCCCGCGUCUGAUUAGCUAGUUGGUGGGGUAACGGCCCACCAAGGCGACGAUCAGUAGCCGGACUGAGAGGUUGGCCGGCCACAUUGGGACUGAGAUACGGCCCAGACUCCUACGGAAGGCAGCAG